This is a long non-coding RNA of Hippocampus zosterae (dwarf seahorse), 717 nucleotides long. RefSeq lists it as uncharacterized. The transcript has 3 exons. NCBI's taxonomy places the organism in Eukaryota, Metazoa, Chordata, Actinopteri, Syngnathiformes, Syngnathidae. The record is from RefSeq and is a predicted model, not a curated record.
AACAUUCACAUUCACAAUUUGGAAUGUGGGCGGAAAUGAGAGUAUCCGGAGAAACCAAACGAAGAGAGCACGCGUAUUUAGGAGGCCAGAGCCCCGAUUCGAACGCAUGACUUCCACAUCGUAAGGGCGGGCAUGCUAACCAGUUGUCAACCGUGCUGCUUUGAAAUAAAACAUAAAAGUUGCACCAGUGAGACAUUAAUUAACCCGGACUUGUAUGUUGUCUUAAAAACCUCCGCUCAUGCCAAGAAUGUCGCUAGCAACAGUAUUGUAGUUGGAAUGCGCAGGCUGUGGCUUCAAGUUAAAAAAUAAAUAAAAAUCCCGUCACAAGAGACACCCGUACUACACACAUCGGAGUACUGAGUGGAGGACAACGAGCCAAAUAUCUUGUUUGUGCCCUUCACGCGUCCUUGCUCCGUCUUUUCAAAGCUGGACACCCGGUCGACAUUAAACCCGAGACCACGCUGGCUUCAAGGACUCGUUGUUUUGAGGCACGCGGUUGCUUCCGGAGGCAAACGAGCGGCAGUGUCCCUGGCAGAAUCUCUCAGCGUGGCCUUUUGAGAGGAAAGGUCAAAUCGGGCAUCGGCGACAAGGUCGAGACAACGAUCGUUGAGAGAUCAAGGUAGGCCUGUGCCCUUUGCCAGUUAUUGCAUCUCACAUUGAUCGUUUGCGUUGGACCGAGAUGACAUUACGUUUGCUUGCGUGAUGCAAAAAAAACAC